This 166-nucleotide ribosomal RNA is filed under the name uncultured bacterium. Its description in RNAcentral is "partial 16S rRNA". It matches the Rfam family "Bacterial small subunit ribosomal RNA", at positions 355 to 511 of the family's 1533-position model. The record is from RNAcentral.
UAGGGAAUCUUCGGCAAUGGGGGCAACCCUGACCGAGCAACGCCGCGUGAGUGAAGAAAGGUUUUCGGAUCGUAAAGCUCUGUUGUAAGAGAAGAACGUGUGUGAGAGUGGAAAGUUCACACAGUGACGGUAACUUACCAGAAAGGGACGGCUAACUACGUGCCAA